GUGCUUUCUUCAGCAGUUCAUAUACUAAAAUUGGAAUGAUACAGAGAUUAGCAUGGCCCCUGCACCAGGAUGACACACAUAUUCGUGAAUUGUUCCAUAUUUUC
This is a small nuclear RNA of Dromiciops gliroides (monito del monte), 104 nucleotides long. The record is from RefSeq and is a predicted model, not a curated record. Lineage: Eukaryota; Metazoa; Chordata; Mammalia; Microbiotheria; Microbiotheriidae.